GUGAAUUGAAACAUUUUAUUGAUAUCUAGCAACACAAUGGCACAAUUGUGACAAUAUCAAAGUAGCUGAGCUGAGAGAAAUAUACCAAUACUUGUGCUUCACAUUGAAAGAUGCAUUUAAGGGAGUGGCCUGUCUUUAGUGGAAAUGUUAACAUGGAAUGUCAGCAAAGGACAAAAAUAUUAAGUCUCUAAAGUAUUGCCAAAAUGGCUUAAUGAAAUAGGUAUAAAAAUAUAUAAUUUGUGUAAUUAAAAUACAAAAACAAAUGGGGGGGGGGGGGGGGGG
This is a non-coding RNA of Biomphalaria pfeifferi, 282 nucleotides long. NCBI's taxonomy places the organism in Eukaryota, Metazoa, Mollusca, Gastropoda, Planorbidae. The record is from the annotation of a GenBank genome assembly.